CACCUCACAGAAGACUGGUUGGAACUUGUCUGGAAUCCAAGUGGAUCACUUGCUUAAAGGACAACAAUGUCAGUGCUCAUACUAGAUCAGAGUCUCAUAACACUGUGUUCAAAAUUUCUAGAGCACAGCUCUACGAACUAGAAUUGUCUUGGCAACCGUCAAAUACCAGUCUCAAGAUUACAUAGAUGUUGGCAUUAUCCAAUAACUUAAAGCAGCUGUUAUUUAAAAAAAAUGUUCCAACAAGUUAGGGAAUACACGUUUGAGAUGGGAAGGUAAAAACGGAGUGGAUUUCUUUGUCUGUUUGUUUGGGUGGUAGAGAUCAAGCCCAAGUUAGAAAAUGCUUAGAAAGUGCUCUAGCACCAAGGCAUAUUCCCAGCCCCCGCAAAUGGAAGCUUUGAAACUGAAAUAUGUGACAACUGAAAUAACUAACCGGACAGGUUCAAUGGCAUGGGAUGGGCAUGCCAGAGAAAAGAGUGAAACUACCCAAUGUGGACGAUUACAAAGGAAAAGGGGGAGGGAGAAGAGGAGGACAGGAGGACAAGGACCUGGGGCGAUACCGAAAAGCCUAGAUUUGUGUUAUUGGAGUCUCAGAAGAAGAUGAGAAAGAAUGUGAUACC
This is a long non-coding RNA of Perognathus longimembris pacificus (Pacific pocket mouse), 617 nucleotides long. RefSeq lists it as uncharacterized. Lineage: Eukaryota; Metazoa; Chordata; Mammalia; Rodentia; Heteromyidae. The record is from RefSeq and is a predicted model, not a curated record. The transcript is spliced from 2 exons.